This 376-nucleotide ribosomal RNA is filed under the name uncultured eukaryote. Its description in RNAcentral is "partial 18S ribosomal RNA". It matches the Rfam family "Eukaryotic small subunit ribosomal RNA", at positions 592 to 976 of the family's 1831-position model. The record is from RNAcentral.
CAAGAGCGUAUAUUAAAGUUGCUGCGGUUAAAAAGCUCGUAGUUGGAUUUCAGUCUAGGAAGGUUAACUCGCCGAAAGGUUGUACGUUGAUUUUCCUCAGACUUCGUCAGAAGCUCGUGCUGCACUUAACUGUGUGGUACGAUGUUCUGACCUUUUACCUUGAGGAAAGUAGAGUGUUUCAGGCAGGCUACCCAGCUUGAAUGCAUUAGCAUGGAAUAAUGAAAUGGAUCUCGGUUCGAUUUCGUUGGUUCUAGAGCUGAGGUGAUGAUCAAUAGGAACAGGCGAAGGUAUUCGUACUUGAGAGUGAGGAGUGAAAUCCGAUGAUCUCUUAAAGACGAUCCGAGGCGAAAGCAUUUGUCAAGGAUGUUUUCAUUGA